This 109-nucleotide ribosomal RNA is filed under the name Chinchilla lanigera (long-tailed chinchilla). Lineage: Eukaryota; Metazoa; Chordata; Mammalia; Rodentia; Chinchillidae. The record is from RNAcentral.
CUCUGGCCAUGCCACCCUUACUGCACCCGAUCUUGUCUGAUCUCAGAAGCUAAGUGAGGUCAGACCUGGUCUGUACUUGGAUGGGAGAAAGUAGCGAGAACAACGGGGA